Molecule: small RNA, 21 nt
Filed under: Arabidopsis thaliana (thale cress)
Lineage: Eukaryota; Viridiplantae; Streptophyta; Magnoliopsida; Brassicales; Brassicaceae
Description: ATSL306380
Source: RNAcentral
UGCUCAGAAGAUAAGCUUACA